UUCCUUUUGGAGACACCAUGAUCAGGCAGGUGGUUUUCCCAGGGGGAGGGUCAUCCCUUGCACUCUGGGUGUGCUGACCCCUGCGAUUUCCCCAAAUGCGGGAAACUCGACUGCAUAAUUUGUGGUAGUGGGGGACUGCGUUUGCGCUCUCCCCUG
RNAcentral lists this small nuclear RNA (156 nucleotides) under Strigops habroptila (Kakapo). RNAcentral's name for it is "U1 spliceosomal RNA (ENSSHBG00005000388.1)". It matches the Rfam family "U1 spliceosomal RNA". Rfam says of the family: U1 is a small nuclear RNA (snRNA) component of the spliceosome (involved in pre-mRNA splicing). Its 5' end forms complementary base pairs with the 5' splice junction, thus defining the 5' donor site of an intron. There are significant differences in sequence and secondary structure between metazoan and yeast U1 snRNAs, the latter being much longer (568 nucleotides as compared to 164 nucleotides in human). Lineage: Eukaryota; Metazoa; Chordata; Aves; Psittaciformes; Psittacidae. The record is from Rfam by way of RNAcentral.